This 293-nucleotide ribosomal RNA is filed under the name uncultured prokaryote. Its description in RNAcentral is "partial 16S ribosomal RNA". It matches the Rfam family "Archaeal small subunit ribosomal RNA", at positions 455 to 747 of the family's 1478-position model. The record is from RNAcentral.
GUGCCAGCCGCCGCGGUAACACCGGCAGCUCUAGUGGUAGCAAUUUUUAUUGGGCCUAAAGCGUCCGUAGCCGGUUUAAUAAGUCUCUGGUGAAAUCCUGUAGCUUAACUAUGGGAAUUGCUGGAGAUACUAUUGGACUUGAGACCGGGAGAGGUUAGAGGUACUCCCAGGGUAGAGGUGAAAUUCUGUAAUCCUGGGAGGACCGCCUGUUGCGAAGGCGUCUGACUGGAACGGUUCUGACGGUGAGGGACGAAAGUUAGGGGCGCGAACCGGAUUAGAUACCCGGGUAGUCC